UACAGAGGCCUCAAGCGUUGUUCGGAUUCAUUGGGCGUACAGGGUGCGUAGGCGGCGCGGUAAGUCGGGUGUGAAAUCUCGGAGCUUAACUCCGAAACUGCAUUCGAUACUGCCGUGCUUGAGGACUGGAGAGGAGACUGGAAUUUACGGUGUAGCGGUGAAAUGCGUAGAUAUCGUAAGGAAGACCAGUGGCGAAGGCGGGUCUCUGGACAGUUCCUGACGCUGAGGCACGAAGGUCAGGGGAGCAAACGGG
RNAcentral lists this ribosomal RNA (253 nucleotides) under uncultured bacterium. Its description in RNAcentral is "partial 16S ribosomal RNA". It matches the Rfam family "Bacterial small subunit ribosomal RNA", at positions 524 to 776 of the family's 1533-position model. The record is from RNAcentral.